GACGAACGCUGGCGGCGUGCCUAAUACAUGCAAGUCGAACGAGAGCGACCGGUGCUUGCACUGGUCAAUCUAGUGGCGAACGGGUGAGUAACACGUGGGGAACCUGCCCAUCAGAGGGGGAUAACAUCCGGAAACGGAUGCUAAAACCGCAUAGGUCUUCGAGCCGCAUGGCUUGAAGAGGAAAAGAGGCGCAAGCUUCUGCUGAUGGUUGGGCCCGCGGUGCAUUAGCUAGUUGGUGAGGUAACGGCUCACCAAGGCCGUGAUGCAUAGCCGACCUGAGAGGGUGAUCGGCCACAUUGGGACUGAGACACGGCCCAGACUCCUACGGGAGGCAGCAGUAGGGAAUCUUCCGCAAUGGACGCAAGUCUGACGGAGCAACGCCGCGUGAGUGAAGAAGGUUUUCGGAUCGUAAAACUCUGUUGUUAGAGAAGAACAAGUGCUGGAGUAACUGUUAGCGCCUUGACGGUAUCUAACCAGAAAGCCACGGCUAACUACGUG
RNAcentral lists this ribosomal RNA (498 nucleotides) under uncultured bacterium. RNAcentral describes it as "partial 16S ribosomal RNA". It matches the Rfam family "Bacterial small subunit ribosomal RNA", at positions 28 to 507 of the family's 1533-position model. The record is from RNAcentral.